UACGUCGGGUGCGAGCGUUGUCCGGAAUUCUUGGGCGUAAAGAGCUUGUAGGCGGUCUGUCGCGUCUGCUGUGAAAAUCCGGGGCUCAACCCCGGACUUGCAGUGGGUACGGGCAGACUAGAGUGUGGUAGGGGAGACUGGAAUUCCUGGUGUAGCGGUGAAAUGCGCAGAUAUCAGGAGGAACACCGAUGGCGAAGGCAGGUCUCUGGGCCACUACUGACGCUGAGAAGCGAAAGCAUGGGGAGCGAACAGG
This 253-nucleotide ribosomal RNA is filed under the name uncultured bacterium. RNAcentral's name for it is "partial 16S ribosomal RNA". It matches the Rfam family "Bacterial small subunit ribosomal RNA", at positions 524 to 776 of the family's 1533-position model. The record is from RNAcentral.